This 937-nucleotide long non-coding RNA is filed under the name Zonotrichia albicollis (white-throated sparrow). Its description in RNAcentral is "lncRNA (ENSZALG00000000168.1)". The record is from RNAcentral. Lineage: Eukaryota; Metazoa; Chordata; Aves; Passeriformes; Passerellidae.
GCUGGUGCCACAGGGCCUUCAGACUGGGCCACCUCUCUGUGGUGACGUGUGACAGUGACACCUCCACAUCCCAACUUCUCCAAGGUGCCUCUGGAAUCCCUGGGGUGACAAUGAAAUCUCCCUAUCCCAACUUCUCCAAGGUGCCUCUGGAAUCUCUGGGGUGACAGUGACACCUCCCUAUCCCAAUUUCUCCAAGGUCAGAUGGUGCCUCUGGAGUGACAGCAAUGCCUCCCUAUCCCACCUUCUCCCAGGUCAGCUGCUGUCUCUGGAAUCUCCAGAGUGACAGAAAUGCCUCCAUAUCCCAACUUCUCCUAGGUCAGAUGAUGAUACCUCUGAAGUGACAGCAACACCUCUAUAUCCCAACUUCUUCUCCAAGGUGCCUCUGGAAUCUCUGGGGUGACAGUGACACCUCCAUAUCCCAACCUCUCCAAGGUGCCUCUGGAAUCUCAGGAGUGACAGUGACACCUCCACAUCCCAACNCUGGAGAAAUCCAUGGGAAUUCAGGGGAAGGGAAAGGUUUUCCACUAGAGAAAUCCAUAGGAACUAAGGGAAAGGUUUUCCCUUGGAAAAAUCCAUGGGAAUUCAGGGGAAGGGAAAGAUUUUCUCCUGGAGAAACCCAUGGGAAUUCAGGAGAAGGGAAAGGUUUUCCACUGGAGGAAUCCACCAGAAUUCAGGGGAAGGGAAAGGUUUUCCCUUGGAGAAAUCCAUGGGAAUUUAGGGAAGGUUGUCCACUGGAGAAAUCCAUGAGAAUUCAGGGGAAGGGAAAGGUUCUCCACUAGAGAAAUCCAUAGGAACUAAGGGAAAGGUUGUCCCUUGGAGAAAUCAGUGGGAAUUCAGGGAAAUGGAAAGGUUUUCCACUGGAGAAAUCCACGGGAAUUCAGGGGAAGGGAAAGGUUCUCUAUUGGAGAAAUCCAUGGGAAUUCAGGGGAAGGGAAAG